AGGUACUGGAUCCCAAAAGCUUGAUUCUCAAACAGCAUUAAGCUUCAGGAGGUCAUGUUUUCAAAGUCCAACCUCCUGCUUCAUUUUUUUCUCAUUGCAGAACUGCUGUAUGCAUGGCAUGAGAGAAAGGAUUCAAUUCACUGCAAUUGCUGCCUGAUUUCACAAAGAAUUUUUCUCUAAGGGACUUAAAUUUCAUCUAAAUUACAAAGGUAGGUCAUCCGCAGAAUAAUAUCACUAGUAAAAAAAAAAACAGAAAAAAAAAAAACAACCAG
Molecule: non-coding RNA, 272 nt
Organism: Pelobates cultripes (western spadefoot toad)
Lineage: Eukaryota; Metazoa; Chordata; Amphibia; Anura; Pelobatidae
Source: the annotation of a GenBank genome assembly